GCAAUGAAAAUCACACCACCCAAGCCCUUUGGUCUCUGCCCCAGUACCCAGCUUCCAGCCCUCACUUGGCUUUGCUCGGGGCUCUUGGGUACGGACUGGAGUCAGCAUGGCUGAAGCAGGUUUUGCAGGUACGUGUAGUCCUUACCCUGCAUCAAGGAAACUUCUCUUUGCAACAGAUGGAGAAACGCAGAGUUGUGGGUCCCCCGUCCCAACGGAUUCAUUUAUGAACCUGGCACCUAGGGCUCAGGAGUCACUGUAGAAGAGGCGGGGCCAGAAAGGUGGAAAGAUCUAGAGGCCCAGGGAGUUGCUGUGCGACUGUCUCCCAAGAAUGUCAGCAGCUACACCCGUAAAGUCUCACUAGCAUGACUGCCCAACCGGGAAGGAGCCGGACAAGGACAAGGGACUUGGGAACGCAGAUGGAGAGGAAGUCCCCAGAGGCCUAAACCCCACACAGAAAGAACCGCAGGUGCUUUUUAAAGGCGCUCUAGCAUACAUACACAAGGCAAGACAAAAGAGAUACAAGGCAGACCCCAGCAUCUUGGCUGCAAUCCUCCCUCGUCCUCCAGGGAAACUGACUGUGCCCUGUGUUCUUUGCUCUUGUGUAUAGGACUUGGUAGAGUUAGGACGUAGCUGUGUUCAACGGCUCCCUUCCAGGGGGAUUCUCUGCACAGGUAUUGGGUGGGACAGGUGUCCCCUUUUCCAAGUGAGGGCCUGGGCAGUCCCCCACAAUCCUGCUCUGACUGGGGGGGCUGGGUUCCAGGGUCACUUGACGUUAUAAGCACAGCCCCAUUUGGACAGUAGAAUUCCUGGUCCCUUCUGGGAACCAAGCAGAGAGCCUGCAGGGGAUAAACAACCCCCUACCUCAGGGAACCGCUGCCCCACACCACCUCUUGUGAGAAGGGCUGCUGUUUCCUCAGCUCUGAGGCCUGGCUCUCAGAAGCCUUCUCUUCCCUUUCCUGCUUUCUCUUCCUCUUCCCCUCCUCACCUACGCUCCUUCUGCCACCUCUCUCUGAAUCUAUUCUUCCUCUGGUCUACAUUGUAGCCCCUGCAUGGCCUACCCCACAUGGCCACAUGGGAUGUGGGAUCCUCCAUAACCAGCCCUGGCUUGGGGAGAUGCAGCAGGUCCCAGUGCCUUGGUUUGGCCCCCGAGCCCAUCUGUACCUGGAUGUGAGAGCAGCCUCCCAUCGCCACCCAGAGGCACAGGCCCACACCCCCAACCUCACCUCUCACCGCUCCUGCAUCCUGGGGUGGGACUGGGGAGCAGGGCAGAUGGACACGACAUGGGGAUGGACGGGACAGCUCUUUACAGCCUGAGACCACUUAUACUUUCUUUGGAAAAUCCAUACAUGCUCUGUUUGCAACCCUCCAUGGCUGUCUCAGGGAUACAUGAUCUCAGCGUUUCCUUCAAAGCGGCCUUCAGGGCGGCACAUGCUGUACCUAGAGCCCCGAGACCCCUUAAAGCCCAUCCCGCAAGCUUCUCCCAGGCUGGGCUUGCUUCUGAGCCUCCCCGCACCGGGCCUCUCCUGUGGGGCUCUCUCCCCACUGCUCCCUCUUCGCAGGCCUCUCUUGGUGAGACCGUGCCCCCCCCCCAGCCUGCUUCACACUCCCCGAUGUCCCUCUACUGAUGGUUUAGUCACUGUGGUCCAUUUGUUAUGGCCAGUGAACCCAUGUUGGUGUAUUUUUAACGGGAGCCCAAGUCUUACUCAGAUUCCCUAGUCUUUCUCUGGCGUCUGCUGUCUGUUCUAGGAUUCUAACCAGGACCCCAGUGACCACGCAUCACCCAGUGCAUCAGGCUCCUCUUCCCCCUUGCUUUCGAUGACCCCAACAGUUUGGAGGACUGUUGCUCAGUGGGAGGGCUGGGGUGUCGACGAUGACCCUCCUUUUGGACUUCUCUGAUGUUUUUGUUGUGAUUAAACUGGUUUGUGGUUUUAGGAAGAUCAUUGGGCAAAAUGCGACUCUCCCUGCACCAAAUCAAGGGCAGAUGUUGUCCACAGGCCCUGGUCUUAGUCACCUAUUGAGGCCCUGCCUUACGAUUUCUUCCCUCCAUUAGGCUCCUGGGGAGGAGGACAUGGGCUCAGAGGAUAUGCAGAGGCCAUCGGGAUGUCUUCUGCGCGGGAAGCUCUUCUUGCCUUCCUUGUUUAUUUACUUAUUUAUCUAAUCACUGGUUUAUAUUGUGGUAGAUUCAUAGAUAUUAAUUUUAUGCUUUAGAUUAAAAUCUGUGAGUGUA
Mesocricetus auratus (golden hamster) is the source of this 2227-nucleotide long non-coding RNA. RefSeq lists it as uncharacterized. The record is from RefSeq and is a predicted model, not a curated record. The transcript has 2 exons. Lineage: Eukaryota; Metazoa; Chordata; Mammalia; Rodentia; Cricetidae.